ACUUCCCACGGGAAGGCAGCAGUGGGGAAUUUUGGGCAAUGGGCGCAAGCCUGAUCCAGCCUUUCCGCAUGAGUGAUUAAGGCCUUAGGGUUGUAAAGCUCUUUUGUCCGGGGGCGAUAAGCGCGGUCCCGGAAGAAUAAACCCCGGCUAACUUUGUGCCAGGCCGCCCGGGGUAAUCCGAAGGGGGCAAGCGUCCUUCGGAAUCUCUGGGCUUAAGCGGGGCGUAGGGGGCCUAUAAAGUCGGGGGGAAAACCCUGGGGCUCAACCCCAGAAUACCCUUCAAUACUGGUUGGCUUGAGACCGGAAGAGGACGGCGGAAUUCCGGGUGUAGAGGUAAAAUUCGUAAAUUUUCGCAAGAACCCCGGUGGGGAAGGCGCCCUUCGGGCCCGUUUCCGCCGCUGAGGGGCAAAAGCGGGGGGGGCAAACAGGAUUAAAUCCCCUGGUAGUCCCCGCCUUAAACGAUAAUGCCUGCGUGUCGCUGCAGGUCAGUGGCGCAGCUAACGCAUUAAGCAUCGCCUGGAGACGCAUUUU
This 531-nucleotide ribosomal RNA is filed under the name uncultured Methylobacterium sp. RNAcentral's name for it is "bacterial SSU rRNA". It matches the Rfam family "Bacterial small subunit ribosomal RNA", at positions 335 to 887 of the family's 1533-position model. The record is from RNAcentral. Lineage: Bacteria; Pseudomonadati; Pseudomonadota; Alphaproteobacteria; Hyphomicrobiales; Methylobacteriaceae.